This is a long non-coding RNA of Lycium barbarum (goji berry), 777 nucleotides long. RefSeq lists it as uncharacterized. The transcript has 3 exons. The record is from RefSeq and is a predicted model, not a curated record. Lineage: Eukaryota; Viridiplantae; Streptophyta; Magnoliopsida; Solanales; Solanaceae.
CCAAAACCUAAUUAUAUUAAAACUCCCACCCCCACCGUACCCCUACCCAGUCGCCGACACUCCACCCCACCACACCCCUAUCCCUCCCCGCCGUUGACGCCCCAUCCCCACCACUGCCUGUCCUCCGUCGCCACUAAAGGCUGUGGGAGCAUCAAGAGCUACUGGAGGAGAAUACCGUGAGAGAAUCGGUCAAUCCGUUUGCCAGGGAUGUCGGGGGGGUUUACAUUUUAGCGAUGUACUUGUACUAAAUCUUGAGGCAAUGGCUUGGAGCAUCCUUGUGACAACAGGGCAAGGACCGGGGCCAAGAGAUAGCCACAGUGCUGUUCUUGUUGGCCAUAGAAUGGUAAUAUUUGGGGGUACAAAUGGCUUAAGGAAGGUCAAUGAUAUGCAUGUAUUGGAUGUCAGGAUCCAAGAAUGGACUCAACUCGAAUGUCAAGGAAAUCCCCCUUCCCGCGUGAAAGUCACACGGCUACUCUCAUUGGUGGUGAUAAAUUAGUCAUCUUUGGUGGUAGUGGUGAAGGCGAGGCAAACUAUUUGAAUGAUUUACAUGUUUUGGACCUUAAAACUAUGAGGUGGUCAUCUCCUGAUGUGAGGGGUGAAAUGCCUGCUCCUAGGGAUAGUCAUAGUGCUGUUGCGAUCGGUAAUAGGCUCUAUAUUUAUGGUGGAUACUGUGGUGACCGAUAUCAAGGUGAUGUUGAUGUGCUCUUUCUUACCAGCUGAAUGUUGUUGGACGAUCACCUGGUGCUCGAGCCGGUCAUGCCUCUGUGAAUUUUGGGU